AGGGGAAUCACCACCACAUGCCUCUUUCCCAGGCAGGGGAGCAGGAAACAGCUGAGGCGGUGGAGCUUGGUGGCCAAUUAUCCUGGACCCCCCACCACUCCUGGGGUGGGGGAGGGGAGCACUGUUGGGGAGGAGUUUUCGCUGAUGUUUUAAUAUUUUAAAAAGCAUCAUAAGCUUACAAGAUCUGGUGGCUCCGAGUCCGGCUGCCUUUUCCUCAGGGAAGAAAAUCUCUGUUGGCUGCGGGCUGAGAAGCGGCGGAAAGAUUCCCGGCUCCGGGAGGCGAGGUGUCUGAAGGAUGAGGUGCGCUUGAAGGAGGUUCGGCCGGCGGGCUCCCCGCUUGCCCGCUCCGGGCCCACUGUGCUGGUCACUAAGUUGAGGGCCUCCUGGAAGGACCGCCGGACGGUCCCCAUCCACUGGGUCAUGUGGGUUUGGGCCACCGUGAGUUUGUCUCCCAGAAGUUCUGGGCUCGCCCGGAGAGGGAAGCCAGCAGCCCUCUUCAGUGGGACCCAGAGUAAAUAAACAUCGCUGAGCCAGCAGCCUUUGGCAUCCGCGGGUCUUACUCCGAAGCAGAGGCGGUUCAGGGUCAAGUCCACCCCCCAGAGUUAUGGAAAGACUGAGGCAGAGGGAUUCGGUGACCAGGCUAAGGUCACACAGCUAUGAAGUGAUGGAGUGUGCAGCCCCCAGCCUCGCACCAUGGGCAACGUAGAAGAGGACCUGGCCUUUGUCAAAUCAGUCGGAGUGGAAGACAAGGGUUGGAAAAAGCAGAAGCGAGCAAGCAGCAGGCAGGGUGGCACAGUCCCGCCUCCUUCCACAAUGGGGGAGAGGGGCGCAGAAGGGAGCUGGGAAGCCAGAUUGCCGGCCUGCUCCCCACUCUGGCUCCCUUUAGGUACAAUGUGGUCUCAAAGUGUGACUAUAAAAAGCGUCACUCUCUGAAAACUGGGGCAGCCUGAGUGCUUUCCCCGCCAGAGGACUUUUUCUGCAGACUCUUCUGUUCUCUCCAGGAAACUCUUGGGAUGUUGCUGGGCAUCAAAAAGGAAAGGAAGCCAUCUCCUUACAUAAUUAAUCCAAAAUACUCUGGAGAGGCUGCUGUGAUUCAGGAAAUAAAUGGGAGUUUUCCCCUCAGUGCAAGGUGGGGCCCAGAGGUCAUCAUUUCCCAGCAAGCGUGUGCAGUUACAGAAAUUGGAACGUCGGUCAUUCAUUCAUUCAACAAACUGUGAAUGUGUUCU
Molecule: long non-coding RNA, 1226 nt
Filed under: Sus scrofa (pig)
Lineage: Eukaryota; Metazoa; Chordata; Mammalia; Artiodactyla; Suidae
Description: lncRNA (ENSSSCG00045030820.1)
Source: RNAcentral